Molecule: ribosomal RNA, 393 nt
Filed under: Occasitermes sp. 1 DAA-2017
Lineage: Eukaryota; Metazoa; Arthropoda; Insecta; Blattodea; Termitidae
Description: partial 12S ribosomal RNA
Source: RNAcentral
AUUAUUUUAAGAUGUUAAUUUUUGUACCUGAGUAGUAUUAGUUAUGUUCUUGAAACUUAAAGAAUUUGGCGGUAUCUCAUUCCGUCUAGAGGAAUCUGUCCCGUUAUCGAUAGUCCGCGUUGGACCUUACUUACUUGAUUUUGGUUUGUAUACCGCCGUUUAUUGAUUAUCUUUUUAGGGUUUAUUUAAUUUUCUGGUUUCUUUAUUUUGAUAUAUUUCAGGUCAAGGUGCAGCUUGUUUUUAAGUGGAAUGAUGGAUUACAUUGUUAUUUGUUUAUGGAUUGUCAAUUUUAAUAUUGAUAUGAAAUUGGAUUUAGUUGUAAUAAUUUGUAGAUUGUUAUUAUGAUAGCUGGUUCUGAGAUAUGUACACAUCGCCCGUCGCUCUCGUUUGUUA